RNAcentral lists this long non-coding RNA (1088 nucleotides) under Neogale vison (American mink). Its description in RNAcentral is "Neovison vison (American mink) lncRNA (ENSNVIG00000006990.1)". Lineage: Eukaryota; Metazoa; Chordata; Mammalia; Carnivora; Mustelidae. The record is from RNAcentral.
GGAUGGGUGGGUCCUCGAAGGUAAGGCCGAGCCUCCUUUCGGACCGAAAAGGCUGGGGGAGGCCGCGCCCUUUGUUUGCUCUGGUAGCGCUGGGGCCCGUUGGGCAGCACCUGUGCUCUUGAUCCCGAGGUGAGCCUCUGAGAGUGAGCGGAGGAGAAGGGAGCUGCGCCCUCUCUUCUGCGGCUCCCUCUUACAGUUGGCUUCUUCCCGCUCUUGGGUGGCCCUCUGCCCCCGUACAACCAGGUGGAUCCGCUUCCACUCCCGGCCCCACUCCCACCCAGGAAACUUUUCAUCUCCGUAAGGCCCUCCUUGGGCCCAUGGGACUGUUCUUCAGAAGCACUCGCCCUUUCACACAGCUCCCUCGUUGCUGGCUUCCUGUGAAAGGAGAUCCAAUACCGUCCCUUUCCAGAACUCGGAGAGAACCCGAGACCGCGUUACUGGGACUUCAAACUGAGGCCGGAAAGCUCAGCUUAAAAGCUGUCCGUGAAGAGGGCUUGGUCUCCCAGAACAGACCCAGUUUUCCUACAACUCAAAUAGAAAGAGCUCCACCCAGUGGCCACUAAGGGUACUCUCGGCACUUCGAGCGUAAAAUUUGCCUCCAUACCCUUCACCACCACAGGGCGGCGCAGUUGUCUACCACCGUCUCUAAGAGGGCGUUGCCAUGCCCAUCCCGCCUGCUGGGCGCUGUAUUUCUCCUGCACACCUGUGAGAGCUGCUCAUUCAUCACCUCUCUCUGGUUUGUUUCAAUAACAAAUAACGAAAAUCAUUACAUUGACUUAAUGAAGCAAGGAGAAGGGAAAAGAAGCAGACCGUUGGUUAGGUCUGGAACCCUGGAACUCUGAACCCUGGACAAAAUCCUUACUCGCUGAUGGCCUUUACGCAGGGCAAACCCCUGGUGUCCCAGACCCUCUUUAGGAAGCUGGGGAUACUAAUACGUGUCCUCCUGGCCUCCUGGAAUGAUUACAGGAUCCGAUGUCUAGUAUGUGCUCAGCACAGAGUCUACCAAAGAGUGGUUUCCGUCAUUUCUGCUUGAGCCUAACAUAGGCCUUGGUAAGUGAACGUCGUGCUCCCCUCGGUUCUUCUGGGAA